Molecule: transfer RNA, 76 nt
Filed under: Bacillus gaemokensis
Lineage: Bacteria; Bacillati; Bacillota; Bacilli; Caryophanales; Bacillaceae
Source: RNAcentral
UUCGGUGUAGACAAAUUGGUAAAGUCGCUAGGCUUUGACCCUAGAGCGUGGAAGGGGUCGACCCCUUCCACCGAAG